GUCGACGGCAGCAUAGGAGCUUGCUCCUGAUGGCGAGUGGCGAACGGGUGAGUAAUAUAUCGGAACGUGCCCUAGAGUGGGGGAUAACUAGUCGAAAGACUAGCUAAUACCGCAUACGAUCUACGGAUGAAAGUGGGGGAUCGCAAGACCUCAUGCUCCUGGAGCGGCCGAUAUCUGAUUAGCUAGUUGGUGGGGUAAAAGCCUACCAAGGCAACGAUCAGUAGCUGGUCUGAGAGGACGACCAGCCACACUGGGACUGAGACACGGCCCAGACUCCUACGGGAGGCAGCAGUGGGGAAUUUUGGACAAUGGGGGCAACCCUGAUCCAGCAAUGCCGCGUGAGUGAAGAAGGCCUUCGGGUUGUAAAGCUCUUUUGUCAGGGAAGAAACGGUAGUAGCGAAUAACUAUUACUAAUGACGGUACCUGAAGAAUAAGCACCGGCUAACUACGUGCCAGCAGCCGCGGUAAUACGUAGGGUGCAAGCGUUAAUCGGAAUUACUGGGCGUAAAGCGUGCGCAGGCGGUUGUGUAAGUCAGAUGUGAAAUCCCCGGGCUCAACCUGGGAAUUGCAUUUGAGACUGCACGGCUAGAGUGUGUCAGAGGGGGGUAGAAUUCCACGUGUAGCAGUGAAAUGCGUAGAUAUGUGGAGGAAUACCGAUG
RNAcentral lists this ribosomal RNA (659 nucleotides) under Herbaspirillum huttiense subsp. huttiense. RNAcentral's name for it is "bacterial SSU rRNA". It matches the Rfam family "Bacterial small subunit ribosomal RNA", at positions 61 to 714 of the family's 1533-position model. The record is from RNAcentral. Lineage: Bacteria; Pseudomonadati; Pseudomonadota; Betaproteobacteria; Burkholderiales; Oxalobacteraceae.